UACGAAGGGUGCAAGCGUUACUCGGAAUUACUGGGCGUAAAGCGUGCGUAGGCGGUUUGUUAAGUCCGUUGUGAAAGCCCUGGGCUCAACCUGGGAAUUGCAGUGGAUACUGGCGAGCUAGAGUGCGGUAGAGGAUGGUGGAAUUCCCGGUGUAGCGGUGAAAUGCGUAGAGAUCGGGAGGAACACCCGUGGCGAAGGCGGUCAUCUGGACCAGCACUGACGCUGAGGCACGAAAGCGUGGGGAGCAAACAGG
Molecule: ribosomal RNA, 253 nt
Filed under: uncultured bacterium
Lineage: Bacteria
Description: partial 16S ribosomal RNA
Rfam family: Bacterial small subunit ribosomal RNA
Source: RNAcentral